RNAcentral lists this transfer RNA (57 nucleotides) under Ligilactobacillus salivarius. RNAcentral describes it as "Lactobacillus salivarius tRNA-Lys". It matches the Rfam family "tRNA", at positions 16 to 71 of the family's 71-position model. Rfam says of the family: Transfer RNA (tRNA) molecules are approximately 80 nucleotides in length. Lineage: Bacteria; Bacillati; Bacillota; Bacilli; Lactobacillales; Lactobacillaceae. The record is from RNAcentral.
CGGUAGAGCAUCUGACUUUUAAUCAGAGGGUCGACAGUUCGAGCCUGUCACGACUCA